CCCUUAGAUGUUCUGGGCCGCACGCGCGCUACACUGAUGCAUUCAACGAGUCUACAACCUGGUCUGAUAGGGCUGGGUAAUCUUUUGAAUGUGCAUCGUGAUUGGGAUAGAUGAUUGCAAUUCUUCAUCUUCAACGAGGAAUGCCUAGUAAACGCAAGUCAUCAGCUUGCAUUGAUUACGUCCCUGCCCUUUGUACACACCGCCCGUCGCUCCUACCGAUUGAAUGAUCCGAUGAAUAUCAUGGAUUGAGGAUGCAAGUAGGUUCGCCUAUCUUCAUCUUCGAGAAGUGAAGUAAAUCUUAUCAUUUAGAGGAAGGAGAAGUCGUAACA
This 329-nucleotide ribosomal RNA is filed under the name uncultured eukaryote. RNAcentral describes it as "partial 18S ribosomal RNA". It matches the Rfam family "Eukaryotic small subunit ribosomal RNA", at positions 1470 to 1796 of the family's 1831-position model. The record is from RNAcentral.